This 501-nucleotide ribosomal RNA is filed under the name uncultured bacterium. Its description in RNAcentral is "partial 16S ribosomal RNA". It matches the Rfam family "Bacterial small subunit ribosomal RNA", at positions 899 to 1397 of the family's 1533-position model. The record is from RNAcentral.
ACUCAAAGGAAUAGACGGGGGCCCGCACAAGCGGUGGAGCAUGUUGUUUAAUACGUCACUAACCGUAGAACCUUACCAGGUCUUGACAUCUAUGGAAUCCCUCGGAAACGGGGGAGUGCCCGCAAGGGAGCCAUAAGACAGGUGUUGCAUGGCUGUCGUCAGCUCGUGUCGUGAGAUGUUGGGUUAAGUCCCGCAACGAGCGCAACCCUCAUCCAGUGUUGCUACCAGGUUAAGCUGGGCACUCUCUGGAAACUGCCCGUGCAAGCGGGAGGAAGGUGGGGAUGACGUCAAGUCAGCAUGGCCCUUACGACCUGGGCUACAAACAUGCUACAAUGGCGCGUACAGAGGGCUGCAAGCCUGCAAGGGUGAGCCAAUCCCAAAAAGCGCGUCUCAGUUCGGAUCGGGGUCUGCAACUCGACCCCGUGAAGUCGGAAUCGCUAGUAACCGCAGGUCAGCUAUACUGCGGUGAAUACGUUCCCGGGCCUUGCACACACCGCCCGU